CUUAGAUGACCAAAGCAUGAAUAUUAUUGCUAAUAUAGAAUCCCUUUGACUUGUAUUGAUAUAGAUCAAAGUUGAAAGGGUUGACGAACAUUGUAUUACGCUCAAAGGCUAGAAUUAAGGCAACGAUAUACAGGUUGACGACUCAGCUAUUUAGGAGUGCACGUAUCAGCUACUGGUGAGCCCCAAAUUCCUUCGGGGCGUUGUCAACUAUCUAGUUAUUUCAGUUUAUAGAUAGCUCUAUUAUUCAGUAUUCUUAGAGGCUUCAUAGACACAGUUCAGACAGUCAGAUAUUUGUUAUGUUAGUUUUGUUGACAGUUAUACUCAGUUGUUCAGUUGUUUGGUUUA
Long non-coding RNA from Lycium ferocissimum, 345 nucleotides. RefSeq lists it as uncharacterized. The transcript is spliced from 2 exons. The record is from RefSeq and is a predicted model, not a curated record. NCBI's taxonomy places the organism in Eukaryota, Viridiplantae, Streptophyta, Magnoliopsida, Solanales, Solanaceae.